This 95-nucleotide signal recognition particle RNA is filed under the name Akkermansiaceae bacterium. RNAcentral's name for it is "signal recognition particle sRNA small type". It matches the Rfam family "Bacterial small signal recognition particle RNA". Rfam says of the family: The signal recognition particle (SRP) is a universally conserved ribonucleoprotein involved in the co-translational targeting of proteins to membranes. Archaeal SRP consists of a 7S RNA and homologues of the eukaryotic SRP19 and SRP54 proteins. The record is from RNAcentral. Lineage: Bacteria; Pseudomonadati; Verrucomicrobiota; Verrucomicrobiia; Verrucomicrobiales; Akkermansiaceae.
CGUCAGGAACCGCGGAGUGUGGGCUGGUGGACCGGGUCAGGUCGGAAACGAAGCAGCCCCAACUUGUCCCCCAUUGCCGUGGUUUCCUGGCAUUU